RNAcentral lists this transfer RNA (68 nucleotides) under Marmota monax (woodchuck). Its description in RNAcentral is "tRNA.Ala". Lineage: Eukaryota; Metazoa; Chordata; Mammalia; Rodentia; Sciuridae. The record is from RNAcentral.
GGCUGGUGGCUCAGUGGCAGAGCACUUGCCUAGCAUGUGUGAGGCACUGGGUUCAAUCCUCAGCACCA